This 855-nucleotide ribosomal RNA is filed under the name uncultured bacterium. Its description in RNAcentral is "bacterial SSU rRNA". It matches the Rfam family "Bacterial small subunit ribosomal RNA", at positions 60 to 952 of the family's 1533-position model. The record is from RNAcentral.
AGUCGAACGAUUAAAGCUUCUUCGGAAGUGUAUAAAGUGGCAAACGGGUGAGUAACACGUGGGAAUGUACCUUUUGGUUCGGGACAACAGUUGGAAACGACUGCUAAUACCGGAUAAGCUCUACGGAGGAAAGAUUUAUCGCCAAAAGAUCAGCCCGCGCAACAUUAGCUAGUUGGUAAGGUAAAGGCUUACCAAGGCGACGAUGUUUAGCUGGUCUGAGAGGAUGAUCAGCCACACUGGGACUGAGAUACGGCCCAGACUCCUACGGGAGGCAGCAGUGAGGAAUAUUGCACAAUGGAGGAAACUCUGAUGCAGCCAUGCCGCGUGAGUGAUGAAGGCCUUCGGGUUGUAAAACUCUUUCGCAAGGGAAGAUAAUGACGGUACCUUGACAAGAAGCCCCGGCUAACUUCGUGCCAGCAGCCGCGGUAAUACGAAGGGGGCUAGCGUUGUUCGGAAUUACUGGGCGUAAAGAGUACGUAGGUGGAUUGAAAAGUUAGAUGUGAAAGCCCAGGGCUCAACCUUGGAACUGCAUUUAAAACUAUUAGUCUAGAGUCAGCUAGGGGAUGAUGGAAUUCCAUGUGUAGCGGUGAAAUGCGUAGAUAUAUGGAGGAACACCAGAGGCGAAGGCGAUCAUCUGGGGCUGUACUGACACUGAGGUACGAAAGCGUGGGGAGCAAACAGGAUUAGAUACCCUGGUAGUCCACGCCGUAAACGAUGCAUGCUAGUUGUCGGGAUUUAUUUCUCGGUGACGUAGCUAACGCGUUAAGCAUGCCGCCUGGGGACUACGGCCGCAAGGCUAAAACUCAAAGGAAUUGACGGGGACCCGCACAAGCGGUGGAGCAUGUGGUUUAAUUC